Molecule: transfer RNA, 76 nt
Filed under: Dipodomys ordii (Ord's kangaroo rat)
Lineage: Eukaryota; Metazoa; Chordata; Mammalia; Rodentia; Heteromyidae
Rfam family: tRNA
About the family: Transfer RNA (tRNA) molecules are approximately 80 nucleotides in length. Their secondary structure includes four short double-helical elements and three loops (D, anti-codon, and T loops).
Source: Rfam by way of RNAcentral
GAAGAUGUGGCUCAGUGGUAGAGCAUACAUUUGCCUAGUUCAUGUGAGAUCUUGGCUUUGAUUUCCAGCACCAUUA